GCCCCCUCGGGGGCAUUUGGUCAAACAAUUUGUAACAAUACAGAGAAGAUUAGCAUGGCCCCUGCAUAAGGUUGACACGCUAUACAAAGAGAUUGAUGAAGUUAAU
RNAcentral lists this small nuclear RNA (106 nucleotides) under Lucilia cuprina (Australian sheep blowfly). Lineage: Eukaryota; Metazoa; Arthropoda; Insecta; Diptera; Calliphoridae. The record is from RNAcentral.